UGUUCCCGGGCCUUGUACACACCGCCCGUCACACCAUGGGAGUGGGUUGCAAAAGAAGUAGGUAGCUUAACCUUCGGGAGGGCGCUUACCACUUUGUGAUUCAUGACUGGGGCGAAGUCGUAACAAGGUAACCGUAGGGGAACCUGCGGUUGGAUCACCUCCUUA
This 165-nucleotide ribosomal RNA is filed under the name Enterobacter asburiae. RNAcentral describes it as "partial 16S ribosomal RNA". It matches the Rfam family "Bacterial small subunit ribosomal RNA", at positions 1369 to 1533 of the family's 1533-position model. The record is from RNAcentral. Lineage: Bacteria; Pseudomonadati; Pseudomonadota; Gammaproteobacteria; Enterobacterales; Enterobacteriaceae.